UGGGGAAUAUUGGACAAUGGGCGCAAGCCUGAUCCAGCAAUGCCGCGUGUGUGAAGAAGGCCUUCGGGUUGUAAAGCACUUUUAUCAGGAGCGAAAGCAUGUCGGCCAAUACCCGGCGUGGAUGACGGUACCUGAGGAAUAAGCACCGGCUAACUUCGUGCCAGCAGCCGCGGUAAUACGAAGGGUGCAAGCGUUAAUCGGAAUUACUGGGCGUAAAGCGUGCGUAGGCGGUUUCUUAAGUCUGCUGUGAAAUCCCCGGGCUCAACCUGGGAAUGGCAGUGGAUACUGGGAGGCUAGAGUGUGAUAGAGGAUGGUGGAAUUCCCGGUGUAGCGGUGAAAUGCGUAGAGAUCGGGAGGAACAUCAGUGGCGAAGGCGGCCAUCUGGAUCAACACUGACGCUGAGGCACGAAAGCGUGGGGAGCAAAC
This 426-nucleotide ribosomal RNA is filed under the name uncultured bacterium. Its description in RNAcentral is "bacterial SSU rRNA". It matches the Rfam family "Bacterial small subunit ribosomal RNA", at positions 355 to 773 of the family's 1533-position model. The record is from RNAcentral.